GCCUCUAUAGCUCAGUGGUAGAGCACUCAGCACUGGUCUCGUAAACCAGGGGUCGUGAGUUCAGUCCUCACUGGAGGCA
Molecule: transfer RNA, 79 nt
Filed under: Ciona intestinalis (vase tunicate)
Lineage: Eukaryota; Metazoa; Chordata; Ascidiacea; Phlebobranchia; Cionidae
Rfam family: tRNA
About the family: Transfer RNA (tRNA) molecules are approximately 80 nucleotides in length.
Source: Rfam by way of RNAcentral